GGUUCCUUAGCCAAGUGGUAAGGCAACAGACUGCAACUCUGUCAUCGUCGGUUCGAAUCCGAUAGGAACCUCCA
This 74-nucleotide transfer RNA is filed under the name Erysipelothrix anatis. Its description in RNAcentral is "tRNA-Cys(gca)". It matches the Rfam family "tRNA". Rfam says of the family: Transfer RNA (tRNA) molecules are approximately 80 nucleotides in length. Their secondary structure includes four short double-helical elements and three loops (D, anti-codon, and T loops). RNAcentral also lists the same sequence under 3 other names. Lineage: Bacteria; Bacillati; Bacillota; Erysipelotrichia; Erysipelotrichales; Erysipelotrichaceae. The record is from RNAcentral.